RNAcentral lists this long non-coding RNA (363 nucleotides) under Salvia miltiorrhiza (redroot sage). RNAcentral describes it as "long non-coding RNA (SMIL_LNC003137)". Lineage: Eukaryota; Viridiplantae; Streptophyta; Magnoliopsida; Lamiales; Lamiaceae. The record is from RNAcentral.
AGGCCGUAUCCUGGCAACUCAACAGAAUAGGAGAAUGAUCAGAACCAAACCUAGGGAGAACCAGCGCAGAAGAAGAAAACCAAAUAUCAGAGAAGUUCUGUGAAGAAAGAGCUCUAUCCAGCUGCUGCUGAAAUGGAAAUUUUAUUGAAAAAAUAAGUUUGGAAAAAAAAACCUUGAGAGCACAGGCGCAAACAAGGAGAGGGCCUAAAAAAAGAAAGCCCAAAAAAAUGGAAAAAACAACAAAACCCAAGCCAAAAAGAGAGCAAACAACGCAAAGCUAAAAGAACAUAAGUAAGAGCAAGCCACCCCUGCCGGCAAGGCGAGCAGCAGAGCAGAGGAGCCGAGCCCGAGCACAAAAGUGCC